RNAcentral lists this unclassified non-coding RNA (140 nucleotides) under soil metagenome. RNAcentral's name for it is "partial internal transcribed spacer 1". The record is from RNAcentral.
UCAAAACAGCGGAUUUCGGUCCUUGCUGCACCCUUGUCUUUUGCGCACCGUAUUGUUUCCUCGGCGGGCUUGCCUGCCGGUUGGACAUUAUCAAAACCUUUUUGUAGUUGCAAUCAGCGUCAGAAAAACAAUAAUUAUUA